AUUGAACGCUGGCGGCAUGCCUUACACAUGCAAGUCGAACGGUAACAGGUCUUCGGCUGCUGGCGGGUGGCGAACGGGUGAGUAAUACAUCGGAACGUGCCCAGACGUGGGGGAUAACGAGGCGAAAGCUUUGCUAAUACCGCAUACGAUCUAAGGAUGAAAGCAGGGGACCGCAAGGCCUUGCGCGUUUGGAGCGGCCGAUGGCAGAUUAGGUAGUUGGUGGGAUAAAAGCUUACCAAGCCGACGAUCUGUAGCUGGUCUGAGAGGACGACCAGCCACACUGGGACUGAGACACGGCCCAGACUCCUACGGGAGGCAGCAGUGGGGAAUUUUGGACAAUGGGCGAAAGCCUGAUCCAGCAAUGCCGCGUGCAGGAUGAAGGCCUUCGGGUUGUAAACUGCUUUUGUACGGAACGAAAAGGCUCUGGCUAAUACCUGGGGCACAUGACGGUACCGUAAGAAUAAGCACCGGCUAACUACGUG
Molecule: ribosomal RNA, 482 nt
Filed under: uncultured bacterium
Lineage: Bacteria
Description: partial 16S ribosomal RNA
Rfam family: Bacterial small subunit ribosomal RNA
Source: RNAcentral